AUCCCAUGAUGAGGACACUUACGAAGUAACUCCUUGAAUCGCUCCCAAGUCUCAUACAAAGACUCGUCAUCCAAUUGUUAGAAAGUUCUGAUCUCGUUCCUCAACUU
Gossypium hirsutum (cotton) is the source of this 107-nucleotide non-coding RNA. NCBI's taxonomy places the organism in Eukaryota, Viridiplantae, Streptophyta, Magnoliopsida, Malvales, Malvaceae. The record is from Rfam.